Molecule: long non-coding RNA, 10952 nt
Organism: Loxodonta africana (African savanna elephant)
Lineage: Eukaryota; Metazoa; Chordata; Mammalia; Proboscidea; Elephantidae
Exons: 2
Source: RefSeq, a predicted model, not a curated record
AGACUAACAGCAAUGAUUGACGCAGAAAUAUGAAGUAUAAACCGGCACGAUACGAUAGCCAUAUAUUGGUGGACGAGAUGCCCUGUCUUUGCUUCCUCAGCAGUUACUCCCCGCUCCUAUCAGCAACAACUGGAGGGACAUUUCUGUUCUCAACCCUUUGCUAUGCUCAUUUUGCCAAAUCUGAAUGCCUGACGAAGAAUAGAGUUUUGAAAUGCAGCAAAUAAAUACACGGAUUUAUCUUUAGUACAUGACAUGGAGUCUCCUGGCCUGAUUUUGUGCUGAUUUCCUUCUCCACUUUGGCUCUGGGUCUCUCUUCUGAACCAUUAGGGAUGGAGGGGGCUGAGAUUGUGGGGAUACACCGUUGAGGGAGAAAGUGUGUGUGGAGUGGGCUGACCAUGAAUGGGGGAGUUUCAGACUGGAAUUAAGAGUUCUGGGGGGAGCACUGAGAACCUGUUGUGUCAGGAAGGGAUGCCGAAGGUUGGGGGGCGGUUCUUAAGAAAGCUCGACGGUUACAGGGUGCAUUUCCUGCUUUGAAGGGAGUUUAGAAAAGGAGGACUAGAGGAACGAUGGCAUCCCUGAUGUCUUCCGUGGGAAAACAGGCACAGGAGAGGCAACAUUGCAGAGGUAAACAUUGCGGGCAGAUGAUGCUGCAGGUGAUAAAAAUUCUGUAGCAAGAGGAACCACUGGAUGGGUUAAGAGAGACCUGACCGGGGGUAGGUGAAAGUGGUCGAGAUCAAUCCAAGUGGAAGGCACACAGCUCCUCUUCCAGGGACCUCUGUGUACAUGGACAGCCUGCAGUGCUCUGGCUCUUUUCUCUCCUGACUCAGAGAAACCAUCCCAUUACCAACAUCUAUGACAGAAACCACUGUAGCCUGUCAGUGGAGAACAAAUGGAGAGAGAAGCACACUUGAUGGGCCCUUUUUUCUCAGUGGCGUUCAGCUGCACAGAGAGACCACCAGUCUACCACCAGUUGCCACAGAACCGACUCUGACUCCUGGAGACCCCAUGUUUUAGAAGUAGAUCCCCAGGCCUUUCUUCACAGGUGCCUCUGGCUGGACAUGAACUUCCAGCCUUGCAGUUUACAGCCCAGCCUUCGGCCAUUUGCACCACCAGGGGCUCGACAGAGACAGGCAGUUCCUCUCACAAUACUGUCUUUUCCUGUCAUGUGGCUGGAAGAACAGGGCACUGACAAGUUCCUUGGAGGUUAAAAAUCUUUAAAACUGGAUUCAUCUGUGCACCCUGGCUUCAAUAUGCAAAUAGAAACCUGUGGUUGGUUUAACACAGAACCGACCUCUGGUGGGGCAAAUCUCUACUGAAUAGCCAUGUUUGGUUUCUACUCGAAGUAGCACAUUAAAUGCUGAAAGAAAAAAAAAAUCCUAUAGCGUUAGAGUCAUUUCCGACUCAUAGCGACCCUAUAGGACAGAGAAGAACUCCCCCAUAGGAUUUCCAAAGCUGUGAACUGUAAUUCCACCGUCAAGAAAGAUGUGCCGGCGGCAGAGCACGGCCUGUGCUCUCGAGGUCCCUGGGCUGUGAAGCCCCUAGACCAGGGCCAGUUUGUUGACAAGGACCUGCCCCCAGCGAUGAUACAGACGGAAAGCCUUCUCCUGGAUCUGGCGCCUUGAAUCCAGACUCCUAGCCAGCAUGCAUCUUAACGUUUGUGCCACUGUGGUGGCUUGCAUUUUCUCGUGAUACUGGAAGCUAUGCCACCACUAUUUCAAGUACCAGAGGACUCACCCAUGGUGGACAGGAUUCAGCGGGGCAUCCAGACUAACACAGGCUGAAAAGAAAGACCUGGCAGUUUAUUCUGAGAAGACUGGCCAGGAAAAAUCUUGUGAAUAACAGAGGAACAUUGUCGGAUAUGUUGCCAUAAAAGGAACCCAUCGGGUUGGAAGACACUCAAAACAACACUGGGGAAGAGCUUCCUAAUCAUUGAACCAAACCAACCAACCAACCAAACAAACAAAAAACCCAUUGCCUUGGGGUCGGUUGUGAUUCAUAGCAACCCUAUAGGACACAGCAGAGCUACCCCAUAGGGUUUCCAAGGAGCACCUGGUGGAUUCAAACUGAGGACCUUUUGGUUAGCAGCCAUAGCACUUAACCACUAUGCCAUCGGGGUUUCCACUCAAAGGACAGUCGACGUUAAUGAUGUAGAUGGGGUCAAGAUUUCAAGAGCUUCAUUUGCUCUUGUGGCACAACACAAAAUGAGAAAAAACCCUGCAAACCCCCUUAAUAGUCAGAGUAGGGAAUGUACUGAGUAUGAGUCUAGGAAAAUUGGAACUGGGAAGAAAUGAAAAGGAUCACAUAAAGGUGGAUAGCCUACACAUCAAUGAGAUCCAAUGGACCAGUGUUGGCCGUUUUGAGUCAGACGAUCACGUGUUCUACUAUGCCAGGAAUGACAACUUGAAGAGGAAUGGCGUUGCUUUCAUUGCCAAAAGGGGCAAUUCAAGAUCUAUCCCGAAGUGCAGAGCUGUUAGGGAGAGGAAGAUAUCCACACGCUUACAAGGAAGACCAGUUAAAAGGACUGUGAUUCAAAUUUACACACCAAGCACCAAUGCCAAAGCUGAAGAAAUUGAAGAUUUUUACCAACUUGUGCAGUCUGAAAUUGAUCCACAUGCAAUUAAGAUGCAUCGAUAAUGACUGGUGGCUAGGAUGCAAAGCUGGAAAUAAAGAAGAAGAAGAAUAUGUAGUUGGAAAAUAUGCCCUUGCCGUAGAAAGGACUCCAGAGAUCUCCUGACAAAAUUUGACAAGACCAACGACUUCCUCGUUGCAAGUACCUUUUUCGAUGACAUAAGUGCCGACUAUACACGUGGACCUCACCACGUGAAAAUCACAGGAAUCAAAGCCACUCUUUCUGUGGAAAGAGACCACGGAAAAGCUCAAUACCAUCAGCCCAAACAAGGCCAGAGGCCAAAGGCAGAUCAGACCGUCAAUUGCUCAUGUGCAAGUUGAAGAUGAAGAAGAUUAAAACAAGUCUAGGAGAGCCAAGCUAGGACCCUGAGUACAUGCCCCCUGAAUUUCAAGACCACCUCAAGAAUAGAUUCGACGCCUUGGACACCAAUAGCGGAGGACCAGCCAAGUUCUGGGAUGACCUCAAGCACGUCAUAGGUGAAGAAAGCAAAAGGUCAUUCAGAACACAGCAAACAGAGAAAAGAACAAAACGGAUGUCAGAAGAGAUUCUGAAAGUUGCUCUUGAACACGGAGUAGCUAAGGCGAGCGGAGGACAUGACGAACUAAAAGAGCCGAACAGAAGAUUUCAAAGGACGGCAGGAGAAGACAAAGUGUCAGUGAAAUGUGUAAGUAUCUGCAGUUAGAAAACCAAAAGGUGACAAAGGCCCAAAGCCUGUUAAAUGGGGAAAAGACAGUCCCUUUAACAAAUGGUGCUGGCAUAACUGGAUACCCAUCAGCAGAAAAAGGAAGCAAGACCCAUACCUAACACCAUGCACGUACACUAAGUCCAAAUAGACCAAAGACCUAAACAUAAAAUCUAAAACGAAACAGAUCAUGGAAGAAAACAAUAAGGACGACGCUAGGAGCCCUAAUACCUGGCAUAAACAGUAUACAAACAUCACUAACAACCCACAAACACCAGAAGAGACACUAGAUAACGGGGAGCUCCUAAAAAUCGAACAAUUAUGUUCAUCCAAAGACUUCACAAAAAGAGUAAAAAGACUACCUACAGACUGGGAAGAAGUUUUUGGCUAAGGCCAAUCCAAUCAGCGAAUGACCUCUAAAAUCUACACCAUACCGCCAAAACUCAACAAGAAAAAGACAAAUAACCCAAUGAAAAAAUAGGCAAAGGAUAGGAACAGGCGCUUCACCAAGGAAGACAUUCAGGCAGCUAAGAGAUACGUGAGGAAAUGCUCACAAUCAUUAGCCAUCAGAGAAAUGCAAAUCAAAACUACAACGAGAUACCAUCUCACCCCAAGAGGCUGACAUUAACCCAAAAAACAUAAAAUAAUAAAUGUUGGCGAGCUUGUGGAGAGACCGGAACACUGACACACUGCUGGUGGGAAUGUAAAAUGGUCCAAGCACUGCGGAAAUCAAUUUGGCGCUUCCAUAAAAAGCUGCAAAUAGCGCUACCAUACCAUCCUGCAAUACCACAACCUGGAAUGUAACCAGGAGAAAUAAGGGCCCUUGCACGAAUGGAUAUAUGCAUACCCAUGUUCACUGCAGCUCUGUUUACAACGGCAAAAAGAUGGAAGCAACGGAGGUGCCCGUCAAGGGAUGAAUGGGUGAAUAAAUCAUGGCAUAUUCACAUAAUGGAAUACUAUGCAACGACUAAGAACGAGGAAUCCGUGAAACAUCUCAUAACGUGGAGGAAUCUGGAAGGCAUUAUGCUGAGUGAAAUUAGUCAGUUGCAAAAGGAGCAAUGUCGUAUGAGGCCGCUAAUACAAGAACUCAAGAAAAAGUCUGAACACCGAAGAAAAUAUUCCUUGAUGGUUAUGAGGAUGGGGAGGGAGGGAGAGGGGUAUUCACUAAUUAGAUAGUACACAAGACAUAUUUUAGGUGAAGGGAAAGACAACACACAGUACCGGGAAGGUCAGCACAACUGGACUAAAGCAAAAGCUAAGAAGUUUCCCGAAUACAACCAAACGCUCGGAAGGCCAGAGCGCAGGGACAGGGGUCUGGGGACCAUGGUUUCAGGGGACGCACAGCUCAAUCGGCAUAACAAAAUACGUGUUAAGGAAACUUCUCCAUCUCACUUUGGUGAGUGGUGUCUGGGGCCUUAAACGCUGGCAAUCGGACGUCUAAGAUACAUCAAUUGUUCUCAACCCACCUGGAACAAAGGAGGACGAAGAACAGCGGAGACACAAGGUAAAUAUGAGCCCAGGAGACAGAGAGGACCACAUAACCAGAGACUCCAUCAGCCGGAGACUGGAAGAACUAGAUGGUGCCCGGCUACCACCGAGGACUCCCCCGAGAGGGAACACACCGGCGAAUCCCUGAUGGAGCAGGAGAACAGUGGGGUGCACACCUCGAACUCUUGUAGAAAGACCAGGCUUAAUGGUCUGACUGAGACUGGGGGGACCCCAGAUGUCAUGGCCCCAGGACCCUCUGUUAGCCCAAGACAGGAAACAUUCCCAAAGCCAACUCUUCAGGCAGGGAUUGGACUGGACUCUAAGACAGAAAAUGAUGCUGGUGAGGAGUGAGCUUCCUGGCUGAAGUAGACCCAGGAGACUAUUGGGGCAAAGACAGAGGGGGACAGGGGCUGGUUGAAUGCAUGCGGGGAAUACAGGGAGGAGAGGAGGAGUGUGCUGUCACAUUAGAGGGAGAGCGGCUAGGGUUCCACAGCAAGGUGUGCAUACAUUUUUGUAUGAGACACUGACUUGAAUUGUAAACUUUCACUUCAAACACAGGAAAUAAAUAGAAAGAGAAAGAACGAAAACCAAAAGAAAGGAAGAAACCAGGCAUUUUUCCAGAUAAAAGAGCUGAGGAAAAAAUUCAAGCAUCGAGUUGCAAUUUUGAAGGAUUCUAUGGGCAAGAUGUUGAACAAUAGAGACAGCAUUAAAAGAAGAUGGAAGGGAUACACGGAGUCACUGUAUCAAAAAGAACUGGUCGACUUUAAAGCAUUUCAGUAGAUGGCGAAUCAUAAUGAACUGAAAGCACUGAAGGAAGAAGUCCAAGCUGCACUGAACCCAUUGGUGAAAUCCAAGCCUCCACGAGUUGACAGAAUACCGACUGAGAUGUUUCAAUGAAAGGAUGCAGCGCUAGAGGUGCUCCCUCAUCUCUGCCAAGAAACUUGGAACACAGCUCUCUGGCCAACCAACUGCAAGAGAUCCACAUUUGUGCCCGUGCCAGAGAAAGGGGAUCCAACAGAACGCAGAAAUUAUCCAUCGAUAUCAUUAAUAUCUCAUCCAAAUAAAAUUUGCUGAAAAAAUUAAUAAAACAGUUGCAGCACCACAGGGACAAGGAACUGCCAGAAGUUGGAGUUGGAUUCAGAAGAGGACGAGGAAUGAGGGAUAUCAUUGCUGACGUCAGAGGAUCUUGGCUGAAAGCAGAGAAUAUCAGAAAGGUAUUUGCGGGUGUUUCGUUGGCUAUGCAGAUGCAUUUGAGUGUGCGGAUCAUAACAAAUUAUGCUUAACCUUGCGAAGAACGGGAACUCCAGGACACUUAAUUUUGCUCCUGUAGAACCUGCACCUACAACAAGAGGCAGUCAUUCAAACACAACAACAGCAUACUUCUGUGGUUCGACGUCCGGCAAGGUGCGUACCAUGGUUGUAUCGGUUCACCAUACUUAUUCAAUCUGUAUGCGGAGCAAAUGACCCCACAAGCUGGAAGAUAUGACGAAGAGCUUGGCAUCAGGAUCGGUGGAAGAUUCAUUACCAACCUGCGAUAUGUAGAUGGCACAAGCUUGUUUGCUGAAAUCAAAAAGACUGGAAGCAAUUACUCGUGAACAUCAGUAUGGAUUCCACCGCGACAAUAAUAAAAAAAAAAAAAGAGAGAGAGAGAGAACUCACAACAGGACCAAUAAGCAACAUGAUGAUAAACGGAGAAAAUAUUGAAGAUGUCCAGGAUUUCUGUUUACUUGGCUGCACGGUCAUCCCUCACAGAAGCAGUAAUCACGAAAUCCAAGGACGUAUUGCACUGGGCAAAUUUACUGCAAAAGACCUCUUUGAAGUGUUGAAAACAAAGGCAUCGCUUAGAGGACAAUGGUGCCCCUCACCCAAGGAAUGAUCUUUUCAAUAGCCUCCUGUGCACGCCAAACCUGGAGAAUGAAUAACGAAGACGGAAGAAGAAUUGACGCCUUUCAAUUACGAUUCUGGCAAACAAUACUGAAUAUACCGUGCUGGUACACUGCUUACGCCUUCGCUGCUACCCAAAAGAUUGGCAGAUGAAAUCCACCAGCUGCUCCUUGGAAACCCUAUGGGUCGGUUCUACUCUGACCUUUCAUAGUUUUGCCAUGGGCGGGAAUGGAUGGGCAGCGAUGGGUUUGGUUGGCCAGAAGAACGAACCAGUCCGCCUUGGAGGAAGCAGAGCCAGUGUGCUCCUUGGAAGCAAGGAGGAGGAGACUUUGUCUCACAUACUUUGGACAUGUUAUCAGGAGGGACUGGAAAAGGACAUCCCGCUUGGUAAGGUAGAGGGUCAGCGAAAAAGAGGAAGGCCCUCCAUGAGAUGGAUUGACACGGUGGCUACACAAUAAGCUCAAACAUAGCAAGGACCGUGGGAUGGCGCAAGACUGGACAGUGUUUGGAUCUGUUGUACAAGGGUUGUGAUGCUUUGCAACUGACUGGACAGCCCCUAAUAACAGCAGCGGCCUCUACGGAAGAUGGCUGCAACAUCUUUCCCCGAAGAGCAGCUGGUGGGCUCCAACCACGGACCUUUCAGUUAACCGCUUUCCCACAAGAGCUCCCCUACAAAGAUGACAGCCAGGAAAGAUCUAUGGGGCAUGCCUACCCUGUAACUCAUGGGGUCUCCGUGGCACAAUACAAUAACCAGCUGCCAUCCAGUAGAUUCCGCCUCAUAGAGACCAAGAGGACAGAGUAGAAGUGCCCCAUAGGGCUUCCCAGGCUCUAAAUCCUUACGGAAACCCGCCGUCCUAUCUUUCUCCCGUGGACGGGCCUGGUGGAUUCCGAUCGCUGAACCACUGCCACCGCCGGGGCUCUUUGCAAAAUACUACUUUUUUUCCCCUCUUUUCUUUUUUAUUGUGCUUUAAGUGAAAGUUUACAAACCAAGUCAGUCUCUCAUACAAAAAUUUGUACACCUUGCUAUAUAUAUUCCUAGCUGCUCUCCCCCUAAUGAGACAGCACACUCUUUCUCUCCAAUCUCUAUUUUCUGCUCCAUUAGGCCAGCUUCUGACCCACUCUGCCCUCUCAUCUCCCAUCCAGACAGGAGCUGCCCACAUUGCCUCAUGUGUCUCCUUGAUCCAAGAAGCUCACUCUUCACCAGUAUCAUUUUCUAUUUCAUAGUCCAGUCCAGUCCGUUUCUAAAGAUUUGGCUUUGGGAAUGGUUCCAAUCUGGGGCUAACAGAAGGUCUGGGGACCAUGACCUCCGGGAUCCUUCUAAUCUCAGUCGGACCGUUAAGUCUGGUCAUUUUCGGGGAAUUUGAGGUCUGCAUCCCACUGCUCUCCUUCUCCCUCAGGGGUUCUCUGUCAGGACAGUCACCGUUUUUAGCCAGGCAUCAUCGAGUUCUUUUGGUCUCAGGCUGAUGGAGUCUCUGGUUUAUGUGGCCCUUUCUGCCUCUUGGGCUCACAUUUACCGUGUGUCUUUGGUGUUCUUCAUUCUCCUUACUCCAUCCGGGUGGUUGAGACCAAUGGAUGCAUCUUAGCUGGCCACUUGCUAGCAUUUAAGACCCCGGAUGCCACUCUCCAAAGUGGGAUGCAGAAUGUUUUCUUAAUAGGUUUUAUUAUGCCAAUUGACGUUGAUGUCCCCUUAAAUCAUGAUCCCGCGCUGUACUGUUGUUACAAAGUAACAAACAAAAAAAGGAGUUGCCUCCACUACUGUCCCAGACUCAUAGGGACCCUACAGGACAAAGUAGGAAUGGCCCACAUGGUUUGUCAAGGGGCAGCUGGUUGAUUCCAACUGCUGCCCUUCCAGCAGCAGCCAAGCACUUAACCACUGCGCCACCAGGGCUCCUGGCCUUAUACUACAGACGCCAUUUGGGGGUUUCGGUUUGUCUGUUUGCUCUAAGUAGUAACCAAAGUGUGUGGAAGUGGCCCACACUCACGGUAGCGGGCAUUCAACUCCCCCUGCUCACUCAGUCCCCUUCCCGGAUCCCCUGGGCUCUUUCUACCGGCAGAUCAUUCCCGCUCCGAAUCCCCGCCUGCCUGUGCCUGGCCCCUUCUCCUCGCCCCACGUUCCUAUUCUGCCACUGCCCUCAGCGUCCGCAACUGCCAUUUACAAACGAAGGCUGCGGGCUCUAGCCACCUUGCAGGCUCCGGGGACGGAGAUUUCCGGAGACCAGGACGCAGAUUUUGCGCUUCUAAAGCGUUCCCAGGACUUGGGAAAUCUGUCAGGCCUGAAUCCACGCUCUGAGCGCAAGUUCCACCCAUCUCUCCGUGGCCCGAAGCUGCACGGUGGAAAUCGCCGCCGGCCCUCGCUCUGGAACAGCCCCUCCUCGGUUGGGCCCCUUCCGGCCCCGCCCCUUAUCCCACACGCUUCCUAGAGGCUGCACUUUCAGAACCCCGGGCUUCUCCGACACCACCGCUUGACAGCGCGAGAGGUCGCUAACUCGCCUCUCUUCGCAAAGUGUUGUGAAUUUCAAUUCUAAAAGCGCCGAAAAACUAUAUUCAGUGUGCUUGAUCACUGUACAGUGUUUCCACAAAGUUGGACCUCUGGACGCUCCCCCAGCACUGCGGGAGGACCCUCCUUGCUUCUGGCCUCUGCGAUAUUAAAGGCCAUCUCACUUCCUGGUUGCCUGGAGGCCCAGAGGGUGGUGAGCCCCGGAUUGAAGGCGCCACUGGGCGGCGCCGGGCGCCGCUGGGGCUCUCCUGCCUGGCCAGCAUCACUUCCUGUUGAGGAGGAGGAGCAGAUCUAAGAAAGUCAGACUUGCUGUCUGCCUGACGCCCUUGCCUGGACUAAAGCCCACCGACACAGGCGUUACACUCUCCAAGGAUUGCGUUUAUACUAGACGAGGCCAUGGAAACACUAAGGGAUAUCGUGGCUCCCCUUCUCCUUGAGAUCCUCAGUGAAUUCCUUGCGGAGAAGAUAAAGAUCAAUAUAAGAGAGCAAGUAAGGGCAGAGUCAGAUGACCAGCGGAUGGGUUUCUUGGACCGCAUAGUUGCCCCUCUAAUGAAGAAGGUUUUUCAAUUGGUACUGGAGAAGACGGCUCCAGUUCUAUUCAACAGGUUUAUUGUGAAACCAUGGAAAUACGUCAUCACCUACGUUGUGAAAAAGAGGAUGCAUCCUGAACCAAUACAUGUGACGAUAGUUUAAUUACCAGUAUCCACGGCGCAGUCGAAGCUUGGACUACUACAAGCAAUCCACGUGGCUUCAACGCUAAGUAAAAGCACCGCAAGAUGGCCUUUUUCUGGCGGAAGGGGAGAUUUCGGUGUUCGCUGACUACCUGGCUGGCCAGUGGUGAGGAUAUUUCUGUCCUCAACUCUUGGCUCUGCUCGGCUCUGCUCGGCUCUGCUCUGCUCUACUCUACUCUACACUACACUACCCUACAGUACUCUAUUGUCCUCGCCUGUACAAUAGUCUAGUCUGUUGACAAAACCGUGAAUAGGAUGGAGAAGAGAGAUGCUAAGGGGGAUCGUGAGUGCAUUUUUCGAGGAUCACAUGGGUGUCGCUCUAACGAAAAAGUUAAUGACAAGGUCCACAGAACCAGUUGAUGUCGUUCUGAGACCAGAUGUCUAUGUCGCUAAUGGAGAUGAUUCUUAUAUUAGUUCUGGGCAACCAGUUCCUCCUGGAACGUUUCAAAACAUCAUCACGUUUUUUUUGUCUGUGAAAAAGAUGAUGCGUAGAAGCCAACCGUUGGGAUUGUGUAUCGCACAGGCAUUUAACCGCCAGAUCGUCGAGAGAUCGUUCUAAAGUAACAUCGUAUAUUCUGGGAGACUGCUCCCAUCCUAUAUUAGCAGCUCGUCAUGUCACCUUCAACAAACAGCAUCACACAUCUCGUUAAGAAGAUGAUGUGCUCAGCCAGCUUGUGGGGUUGCAGUUUAAUUACGAGUUAUCGUUUGCGGACAAUCUAAACGGGCAGAUCAACGAGAAAACUUUAAAAAACAGCAUCGAAUAUCUUUUUUAAGAGAUGAUGCUUCGGAGACUAACAGCAAUGAUUGACGCAGAAAUAUGAAGUAUAAACCGGCACGAUACGAUAGCCAUAUAUUGGUGGACGAGAUGCCCUGUCUUUGCUUCCUCAGCAGUUACUCCCCGCUCCUAUCAGCAACAGCUGGAGGGACAUUUCUGUUCUCAACCCUUUGCUAUGCUCAUUUUGCCAAAUCUAAAUGCCUGACGAAGAAUAGAGUUUUGAAAUGCAGCAAAUAAAUACACGGAUUUAUCUUUAGUACAUGACA